Molecule: ribosomal RNA, 251 nt
Filed under: uncultured bacterium
Lineage: Bacteria
Description: partial 16S ribosomal RNA
Rfam family: Bacterial small subunit ribosomal RNA
Source: RNAcentral
ACGGAGGAUGCGAGCGUUGUCCGGAUUUACUGGGUGUAAAGGGUGCGUAGGCGGCGAUAUAAGUCAGUGGUGAAAUCUCUGGGCUCAACCCAGAAACUGCCAUUGAAACUGUGUAGCUUGAGUGAGGUAGAGGUAGGUGGAAUUCCCGGUGUAGCGGUGGAAUGCGUAGAGAUCGGGAGGAACACCAGUGGCGUAGGCGACCUACUGGACCUUAACUGACGCUGAGGCACGAAAGCGUGGGGAGCAAACAG